GAUGAACGCUGGCGGCGUGCCUAAUACAUGCAAGUCGAGCGAACGGACGAGAAGCUUGCUCCUCUGAUGUUAGCGGCGGACGGGUGAGUAACACGUGGAUAACCUACCUAUAAGACUGGGAUAACUUCGGGAAACCGUAGCUAAUACCGGAUAAUAUUUUGAACCGCAUGGUUCAAAAGUGAAAGACGGUCUUGCUGUCACUUAUAGAUGGAUCCGCGCUGCAUUAGCUAGUUGGUAAGGUAACGGCUUACCAAGGCAACGAUGCUUAGCCGACCUGAGAGGAUGAUCGGCCACACUGGAACUGAGACACGGUCCAGACUCCUACGGGAGGCAGCAGUGGGGAAUAUUGGACAAUGGGCGCAAGCCUGACGGAGCAACACCGCGUGGGUGAAGAAGGCCUUCGGGUCGUAAAACUCUGUUGUUGGGGAAGAAAAGAUGUAUAAGAAAAUGUCGAUGUCUUGACGGUACCUAAUGAAAAAGCAACGGCUAACUUCGUG
Molecule: ribosomal RNA, 497 nt
Filed under: uncultured bacterium
Lineage: Bacteria
Description: partial 16S ribosomal RNA
Rfam family: Bacterial small subunit ribosomal RNA
Source: RNAcentral